Long non-coding RNA from Myotis brandtii (Brandt's bat), 625 nucleotides. RefSeq lists it as uncharacterized. Lineage: Eukaryota; Metazoa; Chordata; Mammalia; Chiroptera; Vespertilionidae. The record is from RefSeq and is a predicted model, not a curated record. The transcript has 3 exons.
GUGUGGCACAGACCUUCCUCCACCACCUGCCUCGGCACCACACCAACGCCGCCCAGCUGCGCCUCGCAGGUGUGUUUCAGGCUUGGCAAAACCAUGAGCGAGCAAACUGCACAGACUUCCUGCGUGUCUUUCUUCUCAGAAUCUUUCUAGGAGUGGAGAGGAGAGAAGAUAAGGAUGAAAGGACAAAAUGAAGCCAGAGAUUCUGUGGCGCAGAUGAAGCUCCUCCAGAAGGAAGACAAUGAACAUUUGCAAUGAGUUUCGAUUCAAGGAGACAUUUGGGGCUAUGUUUUAACACAGGUUACAUAACACAAACAAGAAAAGUGACGGCGAGACAAUGCUUUGAGUGGACCGGCGCCUCUCUGAGGAGCUCCCAGUGAUUCAGAAACGCUUUAAAUUCCCGGGCAAGUUCCUGGUCAGCUGUCUGAGCCGGCGGCAGCCACUGCCCUCUGCGUGAUGGGAGCUGCGGGCCCAGGUGCGGCUCCCCAGCUCCUGCAGGCUCCGCCCGAAGGUCUGGAAAUGGCCAGGCCAGGCCAGUUCUCCUCUAUCUUGCACCCAAGCCCCAGGGGCCGCAGCAUCACUGGCCAAACCUCGUGUCUUGGUGCCUCCUCGGCUGCUGGCCAGUACC